AUGGGAACUUAUCUCCAUAGCUAUGCUAACCUAAAGUAGUGGUGGUAAACGAAUCCCAAAGAUUGAUUAGUUCCUUCAUGGGGCUAUACGUUUUGCAGAAGUCUUUGCCUAGAUAAUGGGUUCUGUACUUUUGAUAAAACGGGACAUUC
RNAcentral lists this small nucleolar RNA (149 nucleotides) under Komagataella phaffii GS115. The record is from RNAcentral. Lineage: Eukaryota; Fungi; Ascomycota; Pichiomycetes; Pichiales; Pichiaceae.